AAUCAACGCUGGCGGCGUGCCUCAGACAUGCAAGUCGAACGCGAAAGUCCCCUUCGGGGACGAAGUAGAGUGGCGCACGGGUGAGUAACACGUAGGUAAUCUACCUUCGGAGUGGGGAAGUAACAAUCGGAAACGGUUGCUAAUACCGCAUAAUGCAGCGGCACCUAAUGGUGACAGUUGUUAAAGCGGGGAGUCGAAAGACCUCGCGUCUGAAGAGGAGCCUGCGGCGGAUUAGCAGUUGGUAAGGUAAUGCUUACCAAGGCGACGAUCCGUAACCGGCCUGAGAGGGCGGUCGGUCACACUGACACUGACAUACGGGUCAGACUCCUACGGGAGGCAGC
RNAcentral lists this ribosomal RNA (341 nucleotides) under uncultured bacterium. RNAcentral describes it as "bacterial SSU rRNA". It matches the Rfam family "Bacterial small subunit ribosomal RNA", at positions 32 to 352 of the family's 1533-position model. The record is from RNAcentral.